Long non-coding RNA from Mustela erminea (ermine), 4344 nucleotides. RefSeq lists it as uncharacterized. The record is from RefSeq and is a predicted model, not a curated record. NCBI's taxonomy places the organism in Eukaryota, Metazoa, Chordata, Mammalia, Carnivora, Mustelidae. The transcript is spliced from 3 exons.
UGGGACACACCAGGCCAGCCGUGAGGGAGAUAGGGCCCCUCGGGGAAGCUCAGAGACGCUGGACCGUCGUCCAAAGUGACAACACAGGGUAACAAGAGUUGUGAUGGUCAAAGUGAGAGCACCGGUCCCUCCUUGGGAGGGUCACGGGAUGCCUUCCAGAAGGACCCCUCCUUCACACAACUCUAAGGAAGGAGGAAAGAAAGGUGGGAUGCGACGGUUCUGAAGACUGACGAUGCAAAGUUCCUAUCCGAAGGAGCUUCUGGACAGUAGAGUUGAGAAAGAGUGUCUACCUGCAUCCACGUAUCUGGUUAUAGGAUCUCCCCAGAGGAGGAACCUCAUAGAAUACAAACAAAACAAACAACUCUGGCUCGAAGUCACAGAAUGAGAAGAGGAGACAGCAAAGAAAGACUCCGUAAGAAGGACCUUACCAGGUACUGUUAACAACUAAACACAACAGUAAACUCGUGCCUCCCGAGUCAAAAGACGUAAGCCACAGGAAACCACCGGGAAGCUGUCCUGAGACCUCAAUCGGUGCCAUGUGAGGGAUGGUUCCAAAACAGACAAGGGCAGGAAGCUGCACCUUCCCUCCAAGACCACUGGGACCAGGCUGGUAACUGCAGGAAGUGCCACCUUCCCUCAAGACCCACCAGACAAGACCGCCAGAGCUACCCAGGAGGGUGCUUUAAUCUGCAUGUGCUUUUGCUCUUUUUCUCUCCUCUCUGUCAAGUUAAGGUUUAAACUGUUGAUGCUUCUUAGCUAUUAACCACGAUACCUCCAAGGUCUUUCAUACUGUUAUUCAGUUGUUCGUAUUUUACCUCAGUCCCUCCUCAGUUGGAGAGUCCAGGGCCAGGCUGCAACUUACUCACCAUUUGGCUACAACAUGCGAUUACACAGUAUGCUGGCUUUGUACUCACCUGCCUUUCGGGGCCAUCCAGCUUUCUUUGCUGUCAGUGUCAUAGAAUUAAUCAAAUUACUUCCUAGGUGAUAAGACUCAACCGAGAAGUGAUCUGGGGAUUAAAAAUAGUUUAACAGGUCAAACAACCAGAAUUCUAGAACCUCCUAUCACGUCAUACAUAGAAGGGAAUUGGGGGGUCCUAAACAAAAAAUGCUCAGAAACCUUUUGUUUAGCUUUCCCUUUUUGUUAGCUUUUCCACGUAAACUUUCACAAAAGGAAAGCCAGUGGUGAGGGUAAAAUGAGGGACAAAGAAGUGUUUUGAGAAAAUGGGACCCAAUGAGAGGAAAAGAGAUGGUAAGAGUUCACUGAGGGAAGAAGGCCCCCAACGGGUACUCAAGCAAGAAAGCAACUGAGGUGAAUAUGCCUCUGGAGAGUCCGCAGAGAAUAUAGAAGGCGGCGGUAUGGAGUCUGCAGACGGUCUAGAACGAGGGCAUCUGUAGAAUCCAGUGAGAAAGUAGAAACCAAAAGUACAGGGACUGAGGGGUCCAUUAUAGGUCUUCAGAAGGUCCGUGAGAGGCUGAAGGCAGAUUGAUCUAAGCCCCUCAGAGGAAUGGUGGGAGCCAUAGGGCAGUGAGGCAACAGCAUCUUCCACAGACUCCCAAACAGCAGAAUGUCAGCUUCCAUGGCCACUAUAUCACACAACUCACAGUGGGGAUCUUGAUAAAAGUGCUGCCACAGACUGCCUGUAAUUGGGACCUUGUCCAAGUGGCUGCAGAAGACAAGAGGAGUAAGCUAAGGUCAGUGAGCUGGGAUGGGGCCUGGCAGAGCUAGAAACACUGUGUUCCCCCCACUUCCCAGACUUCACAGUGUUUCCCUCAUUCCUCACACCAAGGCUUUCUUUCACAUUCCCUUCCCUCCAGGCUUCCGAGCCGACGUCAACCGCAGGCUGCACUGGGCCCUGCCACUGCAUAAGUCAUCCUAGGAAGGGGGACCCCAGGAAAGAGGAGAGAGAGAGAGUCCUCUCCUCUGUUCCCCAGGAAAGCUUGUCCUGUGCUCCAUCAGAUUCUUCCAGAUUCUCCAAUCUGAGAAUCCAAGCUUGGUUUACUUGUGGUAAAAAGAGGAACUAAGUGAUAUUUUAGGAGUCUUUGUGGAAUGAUACCUUGGGGCAGACUCUUGGAAGACUAAGACUCUGAAAGCAGGAAAAUUAUUACACAAGGUAAAAUUGUCCAUGACAAGAAUGGGAAGUCUCUUCCCAGACAUUCUCUCGUGCGAUCCUCACAACAACCCUGUGAGGUAUGGAGACCAGGUGACACCUCAGAGGAGGAGCCUGAAUCUUGUGGAGGUCAGGACCUUGGAGUUCUGCCCCCAACACAAAAAGUGGUUUCAAUAGAUCUUACAUGACUGUCCCCCACCCCCAACCCCCACCAAGAGCUCUGUUUUCUAAUAGGGACUUGCUCUUGGAACUGCCAUCCUCAGAGACUGUGGACCUGGGUCCUCACGGAAACGUGAGAUUAAGGUUAAACCUUGGGCAUCCCACAGCUGACUGGACAAAACCUUGCCUUUUAGCGCUAGUUUUGUUCCUCUUUUUGACUCUGCACUGAUCUUAAAAGACUAGAGUGAGUGGCUAGGACCAAAUUUUCACCCUCCUCUCUCUAGGCUAGCUGCAAAAUUCAUCAUUCAUUAUUCAUGGAUAACCUGAUUUUCUAUAUUGAAUUAGGAGAGCUCUGGGAUCCAUCCCUGUUACUCACUUUAAAGUGGGUGAAAUAAUUGCCACUUCUCAAAAAUUUCAAGGAGGGUUUUCUAUAUGCCAUGCUCAAUUGAUUUUUCAGCCUAUCCUCUUCAGACGAGAGACACAAAUUUCCCAGAACAGCAAGCUCAUGUGUACUCCUUCAUAUAAUACCUGACCUUGAUGACAGAACUUGGGCUCUAGCAUCUGAUUCGAGGCUUUCAAAGACUGGCAGCAUUGUUCUUCCUAUCAGCCCUAACACAAAGGGAAACCUUGGCCCAGAAAUAGACCUGAGUUGGGAGCAUGACUGAUGAAUAGAGUUGAGGGACUCCGUCCUACAGGUAUCCGCAAUUUUCUUAAUGAUCCAGUCUAUGACUGGUGACUCACUGUUGUCAGGGUUCUAUUAUGGAGCCCUCUACCACACCCAAAAAGAGGGUCUAUGAGCUUCGAAUAUAAACUCUAGUUCCCCCUGUAACCCUUGCCCUGUGCCCUUCAGUGAAUUCUAGUCUUUCCUGAAAAUUUCCAUCUCCGGUGGCUCUCUGUAGCAAAAUAAUUGACCUAGGAAAGUAGGAAGAGGAAAAGGUUCAUUGCUGCUGGGUCUGUCCCUAAGGUUCCUUUGCCAAAUUGAUGUGUCUGUUUUUCCUAAAUGUUGGUAAAUUUUGAUGCCUCUGUAAAUAGCAGAGGAACAGAAAAGGAAACCCAUACUCACAGAAAAUAUAAAAUGAGACUAGUGCCCUGAAGCUCAUGAGAAGCAUCUAAAAGCAAUUACUCUGAAGUGCAUAGAAGCCUCACCUAAUGCUGAGAAUAUGCACCGUGGCUAGAGUUCUAAGUCCCCGUCAUGGAGUUAGGGGACAGUGACACUGUUUUUGAGGUUGGAGAGGGUUCUUAAAGAGGAAGGUGAACCCACAAUCCCUCCCCACAGCAUCCAGGCUAGUAGAUCCCUUCAUCAUUCCUGGGGCCUUCUAGAUCCUUCUAUCCUUCUCUGGGCCUUAGCAUUUUCCCAAUUCCACCCUUUCUUCAUAUCCUAGACACACUCAUACCUCCUACAAUUCAAAUACUAGCUGGGUCAUUCCCAUCGGUCAUCUCAGCUUGGAUCCUACCAAUUAUACAGCCUUUGAAAAUCUCAAGUUCUUUCAGGAGUUUCUGCUAAUUCCUGAGGAUUUGAAUUCUCAGGAUUUUCUGUUUCCACUUCCAGAUUCCCACCCAGCGUUAAUCCAGACAUAGGCUACAGCUCUGCCUUCAUGAAAGAGUCCACUUCCACAUAAAAGCAUUAGUGAGCAAUGUAGCCGUCACAAAAUGAUGCUGAUGAAGAGGACUGGGGCAGACCUCACCCCUGGCAAACAACUUUAAAAUCCCCACCUACUGAAUUAAGCGCUGACUUCUUUCCUUACCUGAAGUAGUCUUAGCCUGGGACACCCAGUCCUUUCUCACCCAAAUGAUGAAGCUUUGCCAGAACUGACAGCAAAAAAAAAAAAAAAGCAUGAAGGAUAGAUCCUCAGUUAACAUGGCUACUGGGAUAUUGUUGCCUUUAGGUUCUUUCAGUGAACAGAGGAAGUAAAAAUACCUAAACCUUGAGUUGAUAUUAAUAUGUCAAAUUUAACACAGGAUUUUUAUUUUUUAUAUGUAUCUCCUUUCUCUCACAAUGAAAAAAGUUUGGAUCUUAACAUGUUCAUUUGUUCUUUUUGAAUAUAUAAAAUUAUAUAUUUCAAAAUUAUACCACAAA